RNAcentral lists this ribosomal RNA (432 nucleotides) under uncultured bacterium. RNAcentral describes it as "partial 16S ribosomal RNA". It matches the Rfam family "Bacterial small subunit ribosomal RNA", at positions 29 to 506 of the family's 1533-position model. The record is from RNAcentral.
AACGAACGCUGGCGGCAUGCCUAACACAUGCAAGUCGAACGAGACCUUCGGGUCUAGUGGCGCACGGGUGCGUAACGCGUGGGAACCUGCCCUUAGGUUCGGAGUAACUCCCCGAAAGGGGUGCUAAUACCGGAUAAUGUCUUCGGACCAAAGAUUUAUCGCCUUUGGAUGGGCCCGCGUUGGAUUAGCUAGUUGGUAGGGUAAAAGCCUACCAAGGCGACGAUCCAUAGCUGGUCUGAGAGGAUGAUCAGCCACACUGGGACUGAGACACGGCCCAGACUCCUACGGGAGGCAGCAGUGGGGAAUAUUGGACAAUGGGCGAAAGCCUGAUCCAGCAAUGCCGCGUGAGUGAUGAAGGCCUUAGGGUUGUAAAGCUCUUUUACCCGGGAUGAUAAUGACAGUACCGGGAGAAUAAGCUCCGGCUAACUCCGU